GACGAACGCUGGCGGCGUGCUUAACACAUGCAAGUCGAGCGGAAAGGCGCUGCUUUUGUGGGGUGCUCGAUUGGCGAACGCGUGAGUAACACGUGAGUAACCUGCCCUUGACUUUGGGAUAACUUCUGGAAACUGCGGCUAAUACCGGAUAGAAUCUCCUGCUGCAUGUUGUGGGUUGGUAAAUUUCGGCCGUUGGGGCUGUACUCGCUGGUUAUCCGCUUGUUGGUGGGGUAGUGACUUACCAAGGUUGUGACGGGUAACCGGCAUGAGAGGGUGACCGGCCACAUUGGGCCUGAGAGACGGCCCAGAAUCCUACGGGAGGCAGCAGUGGGGAAUAUUGCACAAUGGGCGGAAGCCUGAGGCAGCAACGCUGCGUGCGGGAUAACGGCCUUCGAGUGGUAAACCGCUUUCGCCUGUGCCGAAGCGUGAGUGACGGUAAUUGGUAAAGAAGCACCGGCUAACUACGUG
Molecule: ribosomal RNA, 468 nt
Filed under: uncultured bacterium
Lineage: Bacteria
Description: partial 16S ribosomal RNA
Rfam family: Bacterial small subunit ribosomal RNA
Source: RNAcentral